This 468-nucleotide ribosomal RNA is filed under the name uncultured bacterium. Its description in RNAcentral is "partial 16S ribosomal RNA". It matches the Rfam family "Bacterial small subunit ribosomal RNA", at positions 28 to 507 of the family's 1533-position model. The record is from RNAcentral.
GACGAACGCUGGCGGCGUGCUUAACACAUGCCGGUCGAACGGAAAGGCCCUGCUUUUGUGGGGUGCUCGAGUGGCGAACGGGUGAGUAACACGUGAGUAACCUGCCCUUGACUUUGGGAUAACUUCAGGAAACUGGGGCUAAUACCGGAUAGGAGCUCCUGCUGCAUGGUGGGGGUUGGAAAGUUUCGGCGGUUGGGGAUGGACUCGCGGCUUAUCAGCUUGUUGGUGGGGUAGUGGCUUACCAAGGCUUUGACGGGUAGCCGGCCUGAGAGGGUGACCGGCCACAUUGGGACUGAGAUACGGCCCAGACUCCUACGGGAGGCAGCAGUGGGGAAUAUUGCACAAUGGGCGGAGGCCUGAUGCAGCAACGCCGCGUGCGGGAUGACGGCCUUCGGGUUGUAAACCGCUUUCGCCUGUGACGAAGCGUGAGUGACGGUAAUGGGUAAAGAAGCACCGGCUAACUACGUG